Vulpes vulpes (red fox) is the source of this 1947-nucleotide long non-coding RNA. Ensembl lists it as uncharacterized. The record is from Ensembl. NCBI's taxonomy places the organism in Eukaryota, Metazoa, Chordata, Mammalia, Carnivora, Canidae.
AAGGGAGAAGAGGGUGUUCUCUGCUUUCUACAGUUAUGGAGUCCCUGUGGGGCCGCUGUUUCCCCUCCCAGGCUCUAAUGCUCAGGAUCCCCCUGCUCCUGGCACCUGUGUCAUGCCGAAAAGCUACUGGCGGUCCCUGUGAUGUGCCAGAGACUGGGGACCAUUUCCCACGUUGACUCCGUGUCCCUGGUCAUUCCCUGUCUGGGCUGGAAGCCCAGGGACGACCCCAUCAUGCAGAAGUUCCUGCGCAGACAUUCCUUUUGUUCCACUUGCAGCAGUGAGACCAUGGAAGCGUCCAGAGGGCAGGUUCCCACAGACGUGGGUCAGCAUGAAAGUGGGGACGAUGCCGCGCUGGUGGGGAGGUGGGCUGGUGACAGGGAACAAGGACGUGCUCAGAAGGCCGGGAAGGAAGCAGGUGGGAAGCACCUCCAGAGCUCAGGUGCAGCAGGGCUGGAGGAGCCGAGGUCUGGUCCCCCUGCCCCACUGGUGUCUGCUGUUGGCAAGAGUGAACUGUGCUCUGUCACUGUCCCUCUGCUCCACCCCAGCCUCUGGGAACGUGAUGACAUUUGUGUUUCUCUGCCGGGAAUAGCUGCCUUCACCCCAGUUUCCUUGCCCAUCUGAGUCCACUUCCUCCUCUGCCCACAGAUGCUGGGGUUUCCUGAUCCGGGUCAGGGAGCCUGUGGUGAGCCAUCAGGGAGCCCUGCUGGGGCUCUCUGGGAGAUGCAGGUACAUCCAGGCUCUACCCCCGUGUCCCCAGAGCACUGCCCGUGUUGUGCCGGCACAGCAUCUGUCCCCAGUGUCAGAGAGCCGGGAGCGGGCCAGCGAGAGGAGGGCCCCGGGAGCCCCCUGUCCUCCAGCAGCCCCACAUGUGUGCUCUGGGCUGCCCUCCACCCCGGGGGCUGGCCGUGCCCGGACCAGGAGGGCCCAGUGUCCCUGCCUCAGCCAUGGGGACGGCACCUCUCCUGCCACCACAGCCAGGCUGCUGGGAGUCCCCUGAGCUGGGAGAGGACAGAGGCGCAGCUGGGGCCAGCUAUUCCCUCACCAAGCUUCCAGGCUAUGGCCGACCCCAGCUCCUCCCACACCCUGGAAAGGACCGUUGGGGACUCUGUCCAGCUGCACCUGAUCUCCUCCUUGUCCCCUAAUGUCCGAGAGGUUGAGUGGAGUUGGCAAUCUGAGUCCGAGAAACAACAGUUCCUGGUGUCCUGGAAGCCUGAUGACUCUGGUCCUGACUGGUAUGAGCUUGAAGGAAAAUUCAGGAGCAGUCUCUCCCUGACAGAGAUGGCAGUUUUGAGCAUCAGGAAUCUCAGUACGGAAAUGAGUGGAUGGUAUACAGCAAAUGUCAAAUUCCGCACAGGAAAAUCCCAGAAGGAGGUCUUUAGACUCUGUGUAUAUGAGCCCAUCCCCCACCCCCAGAUUGUGAUUCAUUCACCAAUCAACCCAGCAGGCUGGUGCCAGGUCAGCCUGGAGUGUGAGACCCCAGGAUCUACAGAGAACUGGACAGUGACCUGGCUGACUGAGGGCCUCCCCAGGGAGCUGGAGCAGAGCGGGGCUCUGAGGCCAGCCCCCAGCUCCAGGAAUGUAAACCUGCGCCUGCCCCUGAGCCAGGUGAAUGGCUACCUCACCUGUUUGGUCAGCAACCCUGUGGAGGAGAAGAAUGCCACCUUGCCCCUGCAGAGCAUCUGUCUGGUCAGGGACAUGACCUUUCUGAGGGUGGUUACCACCUCUGAGUGCAUAAACCACAGUUCAACGCUCCUCGGAGCAGUGUGAGCACCUGCGGUCACCGCAGUCAGCUACCACACUUCCAGGUCUGCUUCAGGGGUCCCCUUGGCCAUAUAGGAAGGGAGUAUACACAGUAGUACAUGAUAGAUAAGGGAGGAGCCCUGACUGAUUUCUUAAAAUGCCAAGAACCGCAGAACAGGAACAGUGUACUCAAAGAAGGAGGUUAAU